Molecule: ribosomal RNA, 262 nt
Filed under: uncultured bacterium
Lineage: Bacteria
Description: partial 16S ribosomal RNA
Rfam family: Bacterial small subunit ribosomal RNA
Source: RNAcentral
UACGGGGGGAGCAAGCGUUGUUCGGAUUUACUGGGCGUAAAGCGCACGUAGGCGGUUUGUUAAGUCGGAUGUGAAAUCCCUCGGCUCAACUGAGGAAGUGCACCCGAAACUGGCAAGCUUGAGUACUAAAGAGGGUCGCGGAAUUCCCGGUGUAGAGGUGAAAUUCGUAGAUAUCGGGAGGAACACCGGUGGCGAAGGCGCUCUGCUGGACCAUAACUGACACUCAGGGACGAAAGCUAGGGGAGCGAAAUGGGAUUAGGAA